RNA transcript from Rosa rugosa (rugosa rose), 3356 nucleotides. It is a transcript of the gene named pentatricopeptide repeat-containing protein At1g03100, mitochondrial, with no coding region annotated. Lineage: Eukaryota; Viridiplantae; Streptophyta; Magnoliopsida; Rosales; Rosaceae. The transcript is spliced from 2 exons. The record is from RefSeq and is a predicted model, not a curated record.
AUAUGGCUAGUUCGCUAUAUUCACUAUUCAAUGUCAUUCGCCCCUUACCGCUGGUUCAUUCAAAGAUAUUCGGUUUGUUUCUUCACAAACUCGAACGCGAGCGGCCGCCGGUCACAAUUUCUGGUAUCGACUCCGGCGACGAUUCAGGUUCCAUCCUUCCUUCUAUUGCCCGGUCUCAAAUUACAACUCUUUAGCUACCAAUUGGUAUUAUGGGUUUCCCGCCACCGUGAACUUGAUCAGGAACAAUUGAAUUGAAUAUUAAGUUAGAUUUUGGAUUUGUGUUCUGUCUGCUUAAGAUGCUUUCUGCGAGGAAAUUCAGCCACGGGAGAGCUUCAGUUUGCCCUUGUGUUUUAUAUGUUGUACAAGCAUCGUAUGCUAGUUUAAGUUUAGCUGGGUUGUUUGAAUCUCAGGUUCGAGCUUAUUCAAAUGUUGUGUAUGUUUCUGGCUCUGUUACUUCUUAUUGUUUGGCCAAGCCCAUUGUGCAAGAUUGUAUUUUGGGAUUACCCAAAAAGUCUAUAUCUGAAGUCGGUUCAUUUUCGACUAUGGCUGGAACAAUCUUGGUCCAGGCUCGAGACCCGGCUAAGUUAAAUGUGGAGAUACAAAAUGCAGUUGAUGAGCAUAGACUAAAUGAUGCGUGGAAGUUUUAUGAGCAGUAUAUGCAGAUGGAUGGGUUUCCUAGGAAAUCUGUUGUUAAUAAGCUUUUAGCGGGUUUUGUAGAAAGCUCUGAUGUUCAGUGGCUUGAGAAGGCUUAUGGGUUGGUGGAGCAGGCUAUUGGGGAAAGCAAACAGAACUUGUUGGAGAGAAACACGCUGAUUUAUGUUUCUUUUGGUCUUGCGAGAGCUGGGUUACCAGUUCCUGCGUCGACUGUUUUGAGAAGAAUGGUAGAAAUGGAAGAAUACCCUCCUGUUGCGGCUUGGUCUGCUGUCUUGGCCUACAUGUCCCAAACAGCUCAAGGGGCUUAUGUUGCUGCUGAGUUGAUUCUUGAGAUAGGUUACUUGUUCCAAGAUCACAGGAUCGACCCACGUAAGAAGUGUAAUGCACCUCUGAUUGCUAUGAAGCCUAAUACUACUGCUUUCAACAUUGCUUUGGCUGGUUGUCUCUUGUUUGGAACAACUAAGAAAGCAGAGCAGCUCCUUGACAUGUUGCCUCGAGUUGGUAUCAAAACGGAUGCUAACUUAUUGAUAUUAAUGGCACAAAUAUACGAGAGAAAUGGACGGAGAGAUGAGCUUAGAAAACUUCAAAGAUACGUAGAUGAAGCCCAUAACCUAAGUGAUGUCCAUUUUCGCCAGUUCUACAAUUGCUUGCUGGCAUGCCAUUUGAAAUUCGGGGAUUUAGACGCUGCAUCUAACAUGGUUUUGGAAAUGCUGCGGAAAGCCAAAGAAGCAAGAGGUUCUCUUGCUGUAGCAACGCUGGUAUUCGAUGCUGCUGGAAGGGGAAACAAAUUCCCUCAUGGAGUUAAUUCUGGAUCCUGGCUUUCAAGCCAUGGAGAAUCAUCUGCUUAUGGAGACAAUAGGUUACCCGGUAAUCUUGUAUUAUCUUAUGAAGAGUUUUCUAGGGAUAGAAAUUUCUUGAGACUUGAGGGUGAGGCUAAGGAAGUGCUGGGUGCAUUGUUAGCUAAAUUGCAGAGCCAAGUUGAAUUGGUAACAACUGACCGUGGUAUCCUCCAGCCAACUGAAAAAAUAUUUGCGAAAUUAGUCAAGGCCUUUCUGGAAGCAGACAAAACCAAGGAUUUGGCUGCCUUUCUUAUAAAGGCAGAUAAAGAAGAUUCCCCAGCUUCCAAUGAUGAUUCAGCCUUGGUUCAUGUCAUUAAUUCAUGCAUAUCUCUUGAAUGGUUAGACAAGGCACAUGACCUUCUUGAUGAAAUGUGCUUGGCUGGUGUAAGAACUGGUUCUUCUGUAUACGCCGCUCUUUUAAAAGCAUAUUGUGAAGCAAACCAAGCAGGAAAUGCAGCAUCACUAUUAAGAGAUGCUCGUAAGGCUGGUAUCCAGCUAGAUGCAAGCAGUUAUGAGGCACUGAUCCGAUCGAAGGUGCUUCAAAAUGAUACACAGGGAGCUCUUCAUUUCUACGCAGAGAUGAAAGAGGCUAAGAUUCCAAAAGCCGGUCAUCAGGAGUUUGAGAGGUUGGUGAAGGAAUGUGCAGAGGGUUGUGAACCGAGGUUGAUGGUAAAGCUGUUGCAGGAAAUAAAGGAAGCGCAGGUGACGUUGGAUUCUGCGGUUCAUGACUGGAACAAUGUAAUCCACUUUUUCUGCAGGAAGAGAUUGAUGCAAGAUGCUGAGAAGGCUCUGAAAAAGAUGAGAAGUCUGGGGCAUGCCCCAAAUGCUCAAACUUUCCAUUCUAUGGUUACUGGGUAUGCUGCUGUAGGAGGAAAGUAUAUAGAGGUAACAGAGCUGUGGGGAGAGAUGAAGUCUCUAGCAUAUAACACCUCAAUGAAAUUUGAUCAGGAACUCCUGGAUUCUGUUCUUUACACUUUCGUUAGGGGUGGGUUUUUCAGUAGAGCAAAUGAAGUAUUGGACAUGAUGGAGAAAGCGAAGAUGUUCAUUGACAAGUACAAGUACAGAACACUCUUCUUGAAGUACCAUAAAACACUUCACAAAGGCAAAGCUCCCAAAUUCCAGACAGAAUCCCAACAUAAAAAGAGAGAAGCAGCAUUAGCAUUUAAGAACUGGAUAGGAGUGUGCUGAGUGAACUGUCUUUGUAUUAUCUGCUUCAUGCAUUCCAUUCCGUGGCUUGAAUCCGAGGAACUUGAUGCUAAAAAAAUCUGGGAAAGAGGAUGUUGAUCGACCGUUCUAGCCCAUUAUCUUGAUGUAGUAGUAAUACAGAGAUUUACUUGGUUUAUGAGGCAAGUAUACUAAUUUUCAGAAGCAGGUCUAUGGUUGUGACCGGGACUGAUCUCGGAAUUGUUGUGCUGCAGAUAUCAAAAUAUAUAGAAGUUUGUUAUGGGCCAAAAAUGGUGUAAUUCAGAUGAAGGAAAUAAUUGCCACCAACAAUUUAGAGCAUCUGAGAGCUUGAGAUGAUGCAAUCUGAUAAUAGAGAAGAGACCGCUGAUUAUAGAAAGAACAGCAUAAAAACAGAUGACUAUGAGUAAGUUGCUCCACAUGGGGAUUCUUUCAGUACGCAAUUGUGUUUGAUCAGUAAUAAAUCAAACCCAACUUAAAUUUCUGGGGAAAGGUAUGGACUGUGUUUUGACUUGUUGGUACCUGAAGGAUGGCAUCGUUUGUACCAUGUCAACUCAAAAACAUUUUGUUUCAUUUGAGGGUUGAUACACAAGCUACCAAAACAGCAACAUAGUUGCAGACUAUUUCAACGUUAUUUCAUGUAUUUUCUAUUUGAGCAUCGGUGCCACAUUUAGGACGAUG